RNAcentral lists this ribosomal RNA (431 nucleotides) under uncultured bacterium. RNAcentral's name for it is "partial 16S ribosomal RNA". It matches the Rfam family "Bacterial small subunit ribosomal RNA", at positions 29 to 507 of the family's 1533-position model. The record is from RNAcentral.
AGCGAACGCUGGCGGCAGGCUUAACACAUGCAAGUCGAGCGCCCCGCCAGGGGCGCGGCAGACGGGAGAGUAACACGUGGGAACAUACCUUUUGGUUCGGAACAACUGAGGGAAACUUCAGCUAAUACCGGAUAAGCCCUUACGGGGAAAGAUUUAUCGCCGAACGAUUGGCCCGCGUCUGAUUAGCUAGUUGGUGAGGUAACGGCUCACCAAGGCGACGAUCAGUAGCUGGUCUGAGAGGAUGAUCAGCCUCACUGGGACUGAGACACGGCCCAGACUCCUACGGGAGGCAGCAGUGGGGAAUAUUGGACAAUGGGGGCAACCCUGAUCCAGCCAUGCCGCGUGAGUGAUGAAGGCCUUAGGGUUGUAAAGCUCUUUUGCCCGGGAAGAUAAUGACGGUACCGGGAGAAUAAGCCCCGGCUAACUUCGUG